CAAAGGAAUUGACGGGGCCCCGCACAAGCGGUGGAGCAUGUUGUUUAAUACGUCACUAACCGUAGAACCUUACCAGGGUUUGACAUCCUGCGUCAUGCCAUGAAAGUGGUCUUCUCCGCAAGGGGACGCAGAGACAGGUGUUGCAUGGCUGUCGUCAGCUCGUGUCGUGAGAUGUUGGGUUAAGUCCCGCAACGAGCGCAACCCUCAUCCCCUGUUGCCAGCGAGUGAAGUCGGGAACUCUGGGGAAACUGCCGGGGUAACUCGGAGGAAGGCGAGGACGACGUCAAGUCAGCAUGGCCCUUACACCCUGGGCUACAAACAUGCUACAAUGGACGGCAGACAGAGGGAUGCAAGGGGGUGACCCGGAGCCAAUCUCAGAAAUCCGUUCUCAGUUCGGAUCGCAGGCUGCAACUCGCCUGCGUGAAGUCGGAAUCGCUAGUAACCGCAGGUCAGCCAAACUGCGGUGAAUACGUUCCCGGGGCUUGUACUCACCGCCCGUC
Molecule: ribosomal RNA, 500 nt
Filed under: uncultured bacterium
Lineage: Bacteria
Description: bacterial SSU rRNA
Rfam family: Bacterial small subunit ribosomal RNA
Source: RNAcentral